RNAcentral lists this ribosomal RNA (496 nucleotides) under uncultured bacterium. RNAcentral describes it as "partial 16S ribosomal RNA". It matches the Rfam family "Bacterial small subunit ribosomal RNA", at positions 29 to 507 of the family's 1533-position model. The record is from RNAcentral.
AUGAACGCUGGCGGCGUGCCUAAUACCUGCAAGUCGAGCGAACGGACGAGAAGCUUGCUUCUCUGAUGUUAGCGGCGGACGGGUGAGUAACACGUGGAUAACCUACCUAUAAGACUGGGAUAACUUCGGGAAACCGGAGCUAAUACCGGAUGAUAUUUUGAACCGCAUGGUUCAAAAGUGAAAGACGGUCUUGCUGUCACUUAUAGAUGGAUCCGCGCUGCAUUAGCUAGUUGGUAAGGUAACGGCUUACCAAGGCAACGAUGCAUAGCCGACCUGAGAGGGUGAUCGGCCACACGGGAACUGAGACACGGUCCAGACUCCUACGGGAGGCAGCAGUAGGGAAUCUUCCGCAAUGGGCGAAAGCCUGACGGAGCAACGCCGCGUGAGUGAUGAAGGUCUUCGGAUCGUAAAACUCUGUUAUUAGGGAAGAACAUAUGUGUAAGUAACUGUGCACAUCUUGACGGUACCUAAUCAGAAAGCCACGGCUAACUACGUG